This 481-nucleotide ribosomal RNA is filed under the name uncultured bacterium. RNAcentral describes it as "partial 16S ribosomal RNA". It matches the Rfam family "Bacterial small subunit ribosomal RNA", at positions 30 to 507 of the family's 1533-position model. The record is from RNAcentral.
UUGAACGCUGGCGGCAUGCCUUACCCAUGCAAGUCGAACGGUAACAGGUCUUCGGAUGCUGACGAGUGGCGAACGGGUGAGUAAUACAUCGGAACGUGCCCGAUCGUGGGGGAUAACGCAGCGAAAGCUGUGCUAAUACCGCAUACGAUCUACGGAUGAAAGCGGGGGAUCGCAAGACCUCGCGCGGACGGAGCGGCCGAUGGCAGAUUAGGUAGUUGGUGGGAUAAAAGCUUACCAAGCCGACGAUCUGUAGCUGGUCUGAGAGGACGACCAGCCACACUGGGACUGAGACACGGCCCAGACUCCUACGGGAGGCAGCAGUGGGGAAUUUUGGACAAUGGGCGCAAGCCUGAUCCAGCCAUGCCGCGUGCAGGAUGAAGGCCUUCGGGUUGUAAACUGCUUUUGUACGGAACGAAAAAGCUCUCUCUAAUACAGGGGGUGAAUGACGGUACCGUAAGAAUAAGCACCGGCUAACUACGUG